CGGAAUGCAUUUCGUACGUACUGAUCCGAGGUCAACUGGAUGAAAAGUAAGAGGUUUGCCGGGAGGGGGACGCCCCAACCCCUUUAGAGAGAAGAUUCUACUACGCUUGAGGCCGAGACGGCACCGCCGAUGACUUUGAGGCACGUCCGUCGCGGACGAUGGCCCAAUACCAAGCAGAGCUUGAGGUGCGUAAUGACGCUCGAACAGGCAUGCCCCUCGGAAUACCAAGGGGCGCAAUGUGCGUUCAAAGAUUCGAUGAUUCACUGAAUUCUGCAAUUCACAUUACUUAUCGCAUUUCGCUGCGUUCUUCAUCGAUGCCAGAACCAAGAGAUCCGUUGUUGAAAGUUUUAUGAUAUUAAAUAUCCACUCAGACCGCAACCAAAAACAACAAGGGUUUGGGUCUUCCUCCGGCGGGCGCGGGCCAGCCCCCCCGACGAGGGGAACCGGCCGCCCUUUCGGGCUGGCCCGCCAAAGCAUCAGAGGUAAUGUAAAGAUUGGGUUGGAGAGCGGAGUCGAGGCUCCCAGAACUCGGUAAAUUGCCCGCCGAAGGAACAC
This 555-nucleotide unclassified non-coding RNA is filed under the name Melanops sp. TUEf39. RNAcentral's name for it is "sequence contains ITS1, 5.8S rRNA gene and ITS2". Lineage: Eukaryota; Fungi; Ascomycota; Dothideomycetes; Botryosphaeriales; Melanopsaceae. The record is from RNAcentral.